ACUGUCUCUUGUAGCUAACCAAUGAAACUGAUCUUGUAGUUCAAAAGCUACAAUAUAACCACCAGACGAGAAGACCCUGUGGAGCUUUAAACCAAAACCAAAUUAAUGACCCCCUGGUUUUUAGUUGGGGCAACUUCGGAGUACACAACAACCUCCGAUAAAAAAAGUUAAGACAGACAGGUCUAAACAACUUGCUCGACCCAAUACUCUACUUUAGAUUAUUUGACCAAUGAACCAAGUUACCCCAGGGAUAACAGCGCUAUCCCCUUUUAGAGUCCCUAUCGACAAGGGGGCUUACGACCUCGAUGUUGGAUCAGGACACCC
RNAcentral lists this ribosomal RNA (324 nucleotides) under Mesalina guttulata. RNAcentral's name for it is "partial 16S ribosomal RNA". It matches the Rfam family "Bacterial large subunit ribosomal RNA", at positions 2015 to 2547 of the family's 2925-position model. The record is from RNAcentral. Lineage: Eukaryota; Metazoa; Chordata; Lepidosauria; Squamata; Lacertidae.